RNAcentral lists this ribosomal RNA (446 nucleotides) under Pseudoalteromonas sp. RNAcentral describes it as "bacterial SSU rRNA". It matches the Rfam family "Bacterial small subunit ribosomal RNA", at positions 551 to 998 of the family's 1533-position model. Lineage: Bacteria; Pseudomonadati; Pseudomonadota; Gammaproteobacteria; Alteromonadales; Pseudoalteromonadaceae. The record is from RNAcentral.
AUUCUGGGCGUAAGCGUACGCAGGCGGUUUGUUAAGCGAGAUGUGAAAGCCCCGGGCUCAACCUGGGAACUGCAUUUCGAACUGGCAAACUAGAGUGUGAUAGAGGGUGGUAGAAUUUCAGGUGUAGCGGUGAAAUGCGUAGAGAUCUGAAGGAAUACCGAUGGCGAAGGCAGCCACCUGGGUCAACACUGACGCUCAUGUACGAAAGCGUGGGGAGCAAACGGGAUUAGAUACCCCGGUAGUCCACGCCGUAAACGAUGUCUACUAGAAGCUCGGAACCUCGGUUCUGUUUUUCAAAGCUAACGCAUUAAGUAGACCGCCUGGGGAGUACGGCCGCAAGGUUAAAACUCAAAUGAAUUGACGGGGGCCCGCACAAGCGGUGGAGCAUGUGGUUUAAUUCGAUGCAACGCGAAGAACCUUACCUACACUUGACAUACAGAGAACUU